GAUGAAGAACGCAGCGAAAUGCGAUACGUAAUGUGAAUUGCAGAAUUCAGUGAAUCAUCGAAUCUUUGAACGCAUAUUGCGCUCUUUGGUAUUCCGAAGAGCAUGCUUGUUUGAGUAUCAGUAAACACCUCAAAGCUUUUGGAUUUUUUAAUCGAAAAGCUUUGGACUUGAGCAAUCCCAACACCAAUCUUUUUGAGAUCGGUGGCGGGUUGCUUGAAAUGCAGGUGCAGCUGGACAUUCUCCUGAGCUAAAAGCAUAUUCAUUUAGUCCCGUCAAACGGAUUAUUACUUUUGCUGCAGCUAACAUAAAGGGAGUUUGACCGUAUUGGCUGACUGAUGCAGGAUUUCACAAGGGUCGGCAACGAUUCUUGUUAAACUCGAUCUCAAAUCAAGUAAGACUACCCGCUGAACUUAAGCAUAUCAAAAGCGGAGGA
This 433-nucleotide unclassified non-coding RNA is filed under the name soil metagenome. RNAcentral describes it as "partial contains 5.8S ribosomal RNA, internal transcribed spacer 2, and large subunit ribosomal RNA". The stretch from base 1 to 120 matches the Rfam family "5.8S ribosomal RNA", at positions 35 to 154 of the family's 154-position model. The record is from RNAcentral.